This 253-nucleotide ribosomal RNA is filed under the name uncultured bacterium. RNAcentral's name for it is "partial 16S ribosomal RNA". It matches the Rfam family "Bacterial small subunit ribosomal RNA", at positions 524 to 776 of the family's 1533-position model. The record is from RNAcentral.
UACGGGGGGAGCAAGCGUUGUUCGGAUUUACUGGGCGUAAAGGGCGCGUAGGCGGCCCGGCGCGUCCGCGGUGAAAGCUCCCGGCUCAACUGGGAGAGGUCCGCGGAAACGGUCGGGCUGGAGCAAGGUAGGGGGUCGUGGAAUUCCCGGUGUAGUGGUGGAAUGCGUAGAGAUCGGGAGGAACACCAGUGGCGAAGGCGGCGACCUGGACCUGUGCUGACGCUGAGGCGCGAAAGCGUGGGGAGCGAUCCGG